AACGAACGCUGGCGGCGUGCCUAACACAUGCAAGUCGAACGGAAUUAGAGAGCUUGCUCUUUGAUUUAGUGGCGCACGGGUGAGUAACGCGUAGAUAAUCUGCCUGACGAUCUGGGAUAACACUUCGAAAGAGGUGCUAAUACCGGAUAAGCCCACGGGUUCUUUGGAAUCUGCGGGAAAAGGGGGGGACCUUCGGGCCUUCUGUCGUCAGAUGAGUCUGCGUACCAUUAGCUAGUUGGUAGGGUAAAGGCCUACCAAGGCGACGAUGGUUAGCUGGUCUGAGAGGAUGAUCAGCCACACUGGAACUGAAACACGGUCCAGACUCCUACGGGAGGCAGCAGUGGGGAAUUUUGCGCAAUGGGCGAAAGCCUGACGCAACAACGCCGCGUGAGUGAUGAAGGCUUUCGGGUCGUAAAGCUCUGUCAAUGGGAAAGAAGUGUAUUUUGGCUAAUAUCCUUAAUACUUGACGGUACCCAUAAAGGAAGCACCGGCUAACUCCGUGCCAGCAGCCGCAGUAA
Molecule: ribosomal RNA, 518 nt
Filed under: uncultured bacterium
Lineage: Bacteria
Description: partial 16S ribosomal RNA
Rfam family: Bacterial small subunit ribosomal RNA
Source: RNAcentral